RNAcentral lists this ribosomal RNA (2840 nucleotides) under Staphylococcus aureus VET0632S. Its description in RNAcentral is "bacterial LSU rRNA". It matches the Rfam family "Bacterial large subunit ribosomal RNA". Lineage: Bacteria; Bacillati; Bacillota; Bacilli; Caryophanales; Staphylococcaceae. The record is from RNAcentral.
AGCUGUAAGUAAGCUUUGAUCCAGAGAUUUCCGAAUGGGGAAACCCAGCAUGAGUUAUGUCAUGUUAUCGAUAUGUGAAUACAUAGCAUAUCAGAAGGCACACCCGGAGAACUGAAACAUCUUAGUACCCGGAGGAAGAGAAAGAAAAUUCGAUUCCCUUAGUAGCGGCGAGCGAAACGGGAAGAGCCCAAACCAACAAGCUUGCUUGUUGGGGUUGUAGGACACUCUAUACGGAGUUACAAAGGACGACAUUAGACGAAUCAUCUGGAAAGAUGAAUCAAAGAAGGUAAUAAUCCUGUAGUCGAAAAUGUUGUCUCUCUUGAGUGGAUCCUGAGUACGACGGAGCACGUGAAAUUCCGUCGGAAUCUGGGAGGACCAUCUCCUAAGGCUAAAUACUCUCUAGUGACCGAUAGUGAACCAGUACCGUGAGGGAAAGGUGAAAAGCACCCCGGAAGGGGAGUGAAAUAGAACCUGAAACCGUGUGCUUACAAGUAGUCAGAGCCCGUUAAUGGGUGAUGGCGUGCCUUUUGUAGAAUGAACCGGCGAGUUACGAUUUGAUGCAAGGUUAAGCAGUAAAUGUGGAGCCGUAGCGAAAGCGAGUCUGAAUAGGGCGUUUAGUAUUUGGUCGUAGACCCGAAACCAGGUGAUCUACCCUUGGUCAGGUUGAAGUUCAGGUAACACUGAAUGGAGGACCGAACCGACUUACGUUGAAAAGUGAGCGGAUGAACUGAGGGUAGCGGAGAAAUUCCAAUCGAACCUGGAGAUAGCUGGUUCUCUCCGAAAUAGCUUUAGGGCUAGCCUCAAGUGAUGAUUAUUGGAGGUAGAGCACUGUUUGGACGAGGGGCCCCUCUCGGGUUACCGAAUUCAGACAAACUCCGAAUGCCAAUUAAUUUAACUUGGGAGUCAGAACAUGGGUGAUAAGGUCCGUGUUCGAAAGGGAAACAGCCCAGACCACCAGCUAAGGUCCCAAAAUAUAUGUUAAGUGGAAAAGGAUGUGGCGUUGCCCAGACAACUAGGAUGUUGGCUUAGAAGCAGCCAUCAUUUAAAGAGUGCGUAAUAGCUCACUAGUCGAGUGACACUGCGCCGAAAAUGUACCGGGGCUAAACAUAUUACCGAAGCUGUGGAUUGUCCUUUGGACAAUGGUAGGAGAGCGUUCUAAGGGCGUUGAAGCAUGAUCGUAAGGACAUGUGGAGCGCUUAGAAGUGAGAAUGCCGGUGUGAGUAGCGAAAGACGGGUGAGAAUCCCGUCCACCGAUUGACUAAGGUUUCCAGAGGAAGGCUCGUCCGCUCUGGGUUAGUCGGGUCCUAAGCUGAGGCCGACAGGCGUAGGCGAUGGAUAACAGGUUGAUAUUCCUGUACCACCUAUAAUCGUUUUAAUCGAUGGGGGGACGCAGUAGGAUAGGCGAAGCGUGCGAUUGGAUUGCACGUCUAAGCAGUAAGGCUGAGUAUUAGGCAAAUCCGGUACUCGUUAAGGCUGAGCUGUGAUGGGGAGAAGACAUUGAGUCUUCGAGUCGUUGAUUUCACACUGCCGAGAAAAGCCUCUAGAUAGAAAAUAGGUGCCCGUACCGCAAACCGACACAGGUAGUCAAGAUGAGAAUUCUAAGGUGAGCGAGCGAACUCUCGUUAAGGAACUCGGCAAAAUGACCCCGUAACUUCGGGAGAAGGGGUGCUCUUUAGGGUUAACGCCCAGAAGAGCCGCAGUGAAUAGGCCCAAGCGACUGUUUAUCAAAAACACAGGUCUCUGCUAAACCGUAAGGUGAUGUAUAGGGGCUGACGCCUGCCCGGUGCUGGAAGGUUAAGAGGAGUGGUUAGCUUCUGCGAAGCUACGAAUCGAAGCCCCAGUAAACGGCGGCCGUAACUAUAACGGUCCUAAGGUAGCGAAAUUCCUUGUCGGGUAAGUUCCGACCCGCACGAAAGGCGUAACGAUUUGGGCACUGUCUCAACGAGAGACUCGGUGAAAUCAUAGUACCUGUGAAGAUGCAGGUUACCCGCGACAGGACGGAAAGACCCCGUGGAGCUUUACUGUAGCCUGAUAUUGAAAUUCGGCACAGCUUGUACAGGAUAGGUAGGAGCCUUUGAAACGUGAGCGCUAGCUUACGUGGAGGCGCUGGUGGGAUACUACCCUAGCUGUGUUGGCUUUCUAACCCGCACCACUUAUCGUGGUGGGAGACAGUGUCAGGCGGGCAGUUUGACUGGGGCGGUCGCCUCCUAAAAGGUAACGGAGGCGCUCAAAGGUUCCCUCAGAAUGGUUGGAAAUCAUUCAUAGAGUGUAAAGGCAUAAGGGAGCUUGACUGCGAGACCUACAAGUCGAGCAGGGUCGAAAGACGGACUUAGUGAUCCGGUGGUUCCGCAUGGAAGGGCCAUCGCUCAACGGAUAAAAGCUACCCCGGGGAUAACAGGCUUAUCUCCCCCAAGAGUUCACAUCGACGGGGAGGUUUGGCACCUCGAUGUCGGCUCAUCGCAUCCUGGGGCUGUAGUCGGUCCCAAGGGUUGGGCUGUUCGCCCAUUAAAGCGGUACGCGAGCUGGGUUCAGAACGUCGUGAGACAGUUCGGUCCCUAUCCGUCGUGGGCGUAGGAAAUUUGAGAGGAGCUGUCCUUAGUACGAGAGGACCGGGAUGGACAUACCUCUGGUGUACCAGUUGUCGUGCCAACGGCAUAGCUGGGUAGCUAUGUGUGGACGGGAUAAGUGCUGAAAGCAUCUAAGCAUGAAGCCCCCCUCAAGAUGAGAUUUCCCAACUUCGGUUAUAAGAUCCCUCAAAGAUGAUGAGGUUAAUAGGUUCGAGGUGGAAGCAUGGUGACAUGUGGAGCUGACGAAUACUAAUCGAUCGAAGACUUAAUCAA